Molecule: ribosomal RNA, 465 nt
Filed under: uncultured bacterium
Lineage: Bacteria
Description: partial 16S ribosomal RNA
Rfam family: Bacterial small subunit ribosomal RNA
Source: RNAcentral
GACGAACGCUGGCGGCGUGCUUAACACAUGCAAGUCGAACGGAAAGGCCCCUUUGGGGGUACUCGAGUGGCGAACGGGUGAGUAACACGUGAGUAACCUGCCCUUGACUUCGGGAUAACUUCAGGAAACUGGGGCUAAUACCGGAUAGGAAUCCUUGCUGCAUGGUGGGGGUUGGAAAGCUUCGGCGGUUUUGGAUGGACUCGCGGCUUAUCAGCUUGUUGGUGGGGUAGUGGCUUACCAAGGCGUUGACGGGUAGCCGGCCUGAGAGGGCGACCGGCCACAUUGGGACUGAGAGACGGCCCAGACUCCGACGGGAGGCAGCAGUGGGGAAUAUUGCACAAUGGGCGGAAGCCUGAUGCAGCAACGCCGCGUGCGGGAUGACGGCCUUCGGGUUGUAAACCGCUUUCAGCAGGGGCGAAGCUUGUGGUGACGGUACCUGCAGAAGAAGCACCGGCUAACUACGUG